CACAUACUCCCUCCGUCCCAAAAUUCUUGUCUUAAAUUUAUCUAAAUACAGAUGUAUCAAGUCAUGUUUUAGUAUUCGAUACAUCCGUAUCUAGACAAAUUUAAGACAAGAAUUUUGGGACGGAGGGAAUACAUC
Molecule: non-coding RNA, 135 nt
Organism: Triticum aestivum (bread wheat)
Lineage: Eukaryota; Viridiplantae; Streptophyta; Magnoliopsida; Poales; Poaceae
Source: Rfam